AUCACCCUGGCGGAUGCUUUACACAUGCACGUCGAACGGCAGCACGGACUUCGGUCUGGUGGCGAGUGGCGAACGGGUGAGUAAUAUAUCGGAACGUGCCCAGUCGUGGGGUGAUAACGUAGUGAAAAUUACGCUAAUACCGCAUACGAUCUACGGAUGAAAGCGGGGGAUCGCAAGACCUCGCGCGAUUGGAGCGGCCGAUAUCAGAUUAGGUAGUUGGUGAGGUAAAGGCUCACCAAGCCAACGAUCUGUAGCUGGUCUGAGAGGACGACCAGCCACACUGGAACUGAGACACGGUCCAGACUCCUACGGGAGGCAGCAGUGGGGAAUUUUGGACAAUGGACGCAAGUCUGAUCCAGCCAUUCCGCGUGCAGGACGAAGGCCUUCGGGUUGUAAACUGCUUUUUGUACAGAACGAAAAGGUUUCUAUUAAUACUAGGAGCCCAUGACGGUACUGUAAGAAUAAGCACCGGCUAACUACGUGCCAGCAGCCGCGGUAAUACGUAGGGUGCAAGCGUUAAUCGGAAUUACUGGGCGUAAAGCGUGCGCAGGCGGUUAUGUAAGACAGAGGUGAAAUCCCCGGGCUCAACCUGGGAACUGCCUUUGUGACUGCAUAGCUGGAGUACGGCAGAGGGGGAUGGAAUUCCGCGUGUAGCAGUGAAAUGCGUAGAUAUGCGGAGGAACACCGAUGGCGAAGGCAAUC
This 702-nucleotide ribosomal RNA is filed under the name uncultured beta proteobacterium. Its description in RNAcentral is "bacterial SSU rRNA". It matches the Rfam family "Bacterial small subunit ribosomal RNA", at positions 30 to 726 of the family's 1533-position model. The record is from RNAcentral. Lineage: Bacteria; Pseudomonadati; Pseudomonadota; Betaproteobacteria.